RNAcentral lists this ribosomal RNA (672 nucleotides) under Bacillus inaquosorum. RNAcentral's name for it is "bacterial SSU rRNA". It matches the Rfam family "Bacterial small subunit ribosomal RNA", at positions 58 to 712 of the family's 1533-position model. The record is from RNAcentral. Lineage: Bacteria; Bacillati; Bacillota; Bacilli; Caryophanales; Bacillaceae.
CAAGUCGAGCGGACAGAUGGGAGCUUGCUCCCUGAUGUUAGCGGCGGACGGGUGAGUAACACGUGGGUAACCUGCCUGUAAGACUGGGAUAACUCCGGGAAACCGGGGCUAAUACCGGAUGCUUGUUUGAACCGCAUGGUUCAAAUAUAAAAGGUGGCUUCGGCUACCACUUACAGAUGGACCCGCGGCGCAUUAGCUAGUUGGUGAGGUAACGGCUCACCAAGGCAACGAUGCGUAGCCGACCUGAGAGGGUGAUCGGCCACACUGGGACUGAGACACGGCCCAGACUCCUACGGGAGGCAGCAGUAGGGAAUCUUCCGCAAUGGACGAAAGUCUGACGGAGCAACGCCGCGUGAGUGAUGAAGGUUUUCGGAUCGUAAAGCUCUGUUGUUAGGGAAGAACAAGUACCGUUCGAAUAGGGCGGUACCUUGACGGUACCUAACCAGAAAGCCACGGCUAACUACGUGCCAGCAGCCGCGGUAAUACGUAGGUGGCAAGCGUUGUCCGGAAUUAUUGGGCGUAAAGGGCUCGCAGGCGGUUUCUUAAGUCUGAUGUGAAAGCCCCCGGCUCAACCGGGGAGGGUCAUUGGAAACUGGGGAACUUGAGUGCAGAAGAGGAGAGUGGAAUUCCACGUGUAGCGGUGAAAUGCGUAGAGAUGUGGAGGAACACCAG